AUUGAACGAUGGCGGCAGGCCUAACACAUGCAAGUCGAGCGAGCGGCGGACGGGUGAGUAAUGUCUGGGAAACUGCCUGAUGGAGGGGGAUAACUACUGGAAACGGUAGCUAAUAGCGCAUACCAUCAGAUGUGCGCAGAUGGGAUUAGCUAGUAGGUGGGGUAAUGGCUCACCUAGGCGACGAGCCCUAGCUGGUCUGAGAGGGUGACCAGCAACACUGGAACGGUGACACGGACCGUACUCCUAGGGGCGGCCGCAGUGUGGAAUAUUGGACAAUGGGCGAUAGCCUGAUGCAGCCAUGCCGCGUGUGUGAAGAAGGCCUUCGGCUUGUAAAGCACUCUCAGCGGGGAGGCGUUACCCGCAGAAGAAGCACCGGCGAACUCCGUGCCAGCAGCCGCGGUAAUAC
RNAcentral lists this ribosomal RNA (406 nucleotides) under uncultured bacterium. Its description in RNAcentral is "partial 16S ribosomal RNA". It matches the Rfam family "Bacterial small subunit ribosomal RNA", at positions 29 to 526 of the family's 1533-position model. The record is from RNAcentral.